This 640-nucleotide long non-coding RNA is filed under the name Salvator merianae (Argentine black and white tegu). RNAcentral's name for it is "lncRNA (ENSSMRG00000002320.1)". Lineage: Eukaryota; Metazoa; Chordata; Lepidosauria; Squamata; Teiidae. The record is from RNAcentral.
CAGUAAGCAAGGUCGGACUUCUUCCGCCUCAGGAUCAGCUGACUGCUGCAAGGAAGUGGCAACCCCGAGGGCUUUUAACUAAAGAGCCACAGCGAAGGGGGUGUCUCCAGUCUGAAAACCGCUUUCCUCUUCCCCCCCCCUCUAGUGACUACUGAAACCACACCUUGCCGCUGUUUAUGCGUCCCCUAACCUCAGCCCAAGGGGCGUAAACCUGUGGCGUCAAAAGUUUAUUCUCUCCAUUUGGAGCAAAUACAUUGCCGAGAUGGCAGGGGUCGUGGUUAAUGGAACUCAAGUGUCUUACAUUGGUCAAGACUGCCAAGAAAUACCAGAAUUCCUUGGGAGAAAAUAUGGACAUAUUGCUAAAAGAUUGGAUCUUAGCUGUAACUUGUUAAGGGAACAGGAUCCAAUAAAUGAAGCAAGGGAGCACACCUUCUCAAGACAAUAGAAGAUGCUAUUAUCAAGAUUUAGGCAAGGAAGCUUUGAAUAGUAUUAGGGCAUUGUCCCUUGUUGAAGUGCCCCAGGUUCUUGUGUGUUUUUUCCUAACAAAGGAAUCUUGUACUUUUAUGUUGAGAUAAUUAUCUCAGAAUAAGAGGUGCCUUGUCUAGUCUGAUCUUAUGAAUAAAUACGUCUUUGAAAUAUA